RNAcentral lists this long non-coding RNA (518 nucleotides) under Coccomyxa subellipsoidea. RNAcentral describes it as "long non-coding RNA (CSUB_LNC000174)". Lineage: Eukaryota; Viridiplantae; Chlorophyta; Trebouxiophyceae; Coccomyxaceae. The record is from RNAcentral.
UGAUAUCGCUGUCUGGCAUAAAGAUCUCAGGAAUGAGGAAUGUUGAAAAGCGCUCUUUCUGUUCCUUUGAAGGCCAGUCUUGUCUGAGUAGCUGCACGGCACACACAGUGCGUCUUACACAGGCAACCCGGGCUUGAAAUACUAACGAUUAGUGUCCUUGCCUGCAAGUGUGACAUGAUUCUCGCACCCAUUUGAGAUUGUCUUGACCAGAAGGGGAAGCGAUGUGUAGCUUGUAGUAGUCAUACCAACUGUCACUUUCGUCAUCCCUUUCGUUGUCUCUACACCUCACCGUUAAACCCAGUCGAGCUCUCUGCUGGCUCCUAUUCUUGCAAGAUCCUCCGAUACCACAAGCAGGCGUCAGCAACCGACACAAGUGAGAACACAUGCCAUCUGCAGUGAAACUCCAGGUGCCGUUGGACAUUGAUUUCUCACAUUGUUGUCUGAGAACACAAAGUGCAAGGUUCCUUGGGGUACAAUAUUCUUAGUUUCAGCAUUCAUCCUUCGAAAGCAUGAUCAUC